GAUGAAGAACGUAGCGAAAUGCGAUAAGUAAUGUGAAUUGCAGAAUUCAGUGAAUCAUCGAAUCUUUGAACGCACAUUGCGCCCCUUGGUAUUCCGAGGGGCAUGCCUAUUCGAGCGUCAUUUAAACCUUCAAGCUAAGCUUGGUGUUGGGUGACUGUCCGCUUCACUGCGGACUCGCCUCAAAAUUAUUGGCGGCCGGUACAUUGGCUUCGAGCGCAGCAGAAACGCGAACUCGGGCCCGUCGUAUUGGCUCCCAGAAGCUAUCUUCACAAUUUUGACCUCGGAUCAGGUAGGGAUACCCGCUGAACUUAAGCAUAUCAAUAAGCGGAGGA
RNAcentral lists this unclassified non-coding RNA (332 nucleotides) under soil metagenome. RNAcentral's name for it is "partial contains 5.8S ribosomal RNA, internal transcribed spacer 2, and large subunit ribosomal RNA". The stretch from base 1 to 120 matches the Rfam family "5.8S ribosomal RNA", at positions 35 to 154 of the family's 154-position model. The record is from RNAcentral.